This 86-nucleotide ribosomal RNA is filed under the name Karenia brevis. Its description in RNAcentral is "partial Bacterial large subunit ribosomal RNA". Lineage: Eukaryota; Dinophyceae; Gymnodiniales; Kareniaceae. The record is from RNAcentral.
AUCUAAUGUCAAGAUACGAGCAUAAGAUAGAAACUUCUCUUGAGGGAAUUGAGCACCUAUCCAAAGAGAGACCAAAAAAGAAAGAA